Molecule: transfer RNA, 72 nt
Filed under: Ornithorhynchus anatinus (platypus)
Lineage: Eukaryota; Metazoa; Chordata; Mammalia; Monotremata; Ornithorhynchidae
Rfam family: tRNA
About the family: Transfer RNA (tRNA) molecules are approximately 80 nucleotides in length. Their secondary structure includes four short double-helical elements and three loops (D, anti-codon, and T loops). Further hydrogen bonds mediate the characteristic L-shaped molecular structure. tRNAs have two regions of fundamental functional importance: the anti-codon, which is responsible for specific mRNA codon recognition, and the 3' end, to which the tRNAs corresponding amino acid is attached (by aminoacyl-tRNA synthetases). tRNAs cope with the degeneracy of the genetic code in two manners: having more than one tRNA (with a specific anti-codon) for a particular amino acid; and 'wobble' base-pairing, i.e. permitting non-standard base-pairing at the 3rd anti-codon position.
Source: Rfam by way of RNAcentral
AGCAGCGUGGCUUAGUGGAAAGAGCCUGGGCUUCGGAGUCAGAGGUCAUGGGUUCGACUCCCGCCUUUGCCA